CGCGCCCUUCGGGGCGAGUGGCGGACGGGUGAGUAACACGUGGGAACGUGCCCUUUGGUUCGGAAUAACUCAGGGAAACUUGAGCUAAUACCGGAUGAGCCCUACGGGGGAAAGACUUAUCGCCAAAGGAGCGGCCCGCGUCUGAUUAGCUAGUUGGUGAGGUAAAGGCUCACCAAGGCUACGAUCAGUAGCUGGUCUGAGAGGAUGAUCAGCCACACUGGGACUGAGACACGGCCCAGACUCCUACGGGAGGCAGCAGUGGGGAAUCUUGCGCAAUGGGCGAAAGCCUGACGCAGCCAUGCCGCGUGGAUGAUGAAGGUCUUAGGAUUGUAAAAUCCUUUCACCGGGGACGAUAAUGACGGUACCCGGAGAAGAAGCCCCGGCUAACUUCGUGCCAGCAGCCGCGGUAAUACGAAGGGGGCUAGCGUUGCUCGGAAUUACUGGGCGUAAAGGGCGCGUAGGCGGACAGUUUAGUCGGGGGUGAAAGCCCGGGGCUCGACCUCGGAAUUGCCUUCGAUACUGGCUGUCUUGAGUACGGGAGAGGUGUGUGGAACUCCGAGUGUAGAGGUGAAAUUCGUAGAUAUUCGGAAGA
This 592-nucleotide ribosomal RNA is filed under the name uncultured Alphaproteobacteria bacterium. RNAcentral describes it as "bacterial SSU rRNA". It matches the Rfam family "Bacterial small subunit ribosomal RNA", at positions 67 to 705 of the family's 1533-position model. The record is from RNAcentral. Lineage: Bacteria; Pseudomonadati; Pseudomonadota; Alphaproteobacteria.